RNAcentral lists this ribosomal RNA (301 nucleotides) under uncultured bacterium. Its description in RNAcentral is "partial 16S ribosomal RNA". It matches the Rfam family "Bacterial small subunit ribosomal RNA", at positions 509 to 807 of the family's 1533-position model. The record is from RNAcentral.
CAGCAGCCGCGGGAAUACGUAGGGUGCGAGCGUUAAUCGGAAUUACUGGGCGUAAAGCGUGCGCAGGCGGUUCGUUAAGACAGAUGUGAAAUCCCCGGGCUUAACCUGGGAACUGCAUUUGUGACUGACGGGCUAGAGUAUGGCAGAGGGGGGUAGAAUUCCACGUGUAGCAGUGAAAUGCGUAGAGAUGUGGAGGAAUACCGAUGGCGAAGGCAGCCCCCUGGGCCAAUACUGACGCUCAUGCACGAAAGCGUGGGGAGCAAACAGGAUUAGAGACCCCAGUAGUCCCUGUCUCUUAUAC